Molecule: ribosomal RNA, 460 nt
Filed under: uncultured bacterium
Lineage: Bacteria
Description: partial 16S ribosomal RNA
Rfam family: Bacterial small subunit ribosomal RNA
Source: RNAcentral
CCUACGGGAGGCAGCAGUGAGGAAUAUUGGUCAAUGGGCGCGAGCCUGAACCAGCCAAGCAGCGUGAAGGAUGACUGCCCUACGGGUUGUAAACUUCUUUUAUAAAGGAAUAAAGUGAGGCACGUGUGCCUUUCUGCAUGUACUUUAUGAAUAAGGAUCGGCUAACUCCGUGCCAGCAGCCGCGGUAAUACGGAGGAUCCGAGCGUUAUCCGGAUUUAUUGGGUUUAAAGGGAGCGUAGAUGGGUUGUUAAGUCAGUUGUGAAAGUUUGCGGCUCAACCGUAAAAUUGCAAUUGAUACUGGCAGUCUUGAGUACAGUUGAGGUAGGCGGAAUUCGUGGUGUAGCGGUGAAAUGCUUAGAUAUCGCGAAGAACUCCGAUUGCGAAGGCAGCUUACUAAACUGACACUGACAUUGAUGCUCGAAAGUGUGGGUAUCAAACAGGAUUAGAUACCCCGGUAGUC